GAAGGAGAUGUCAAAGAUGAAUAGAAGAAUCAUAUUUGGUAGCCAAGGAUGACUUGCCUGACUCUUUGUGUAAAAUGUUUAGUGUCUUGUUUGAAGUCACUAUAAGUUGUAUCAAGCAAUGACCAUUUUGCUUAUAAAAAAGAUAUCAGGCAGUCUCCUUGGCUAUCCUUAUAUGUUCUUCUCUUUCAUCUCAGACAUUCACCUUC
RNAcentral lists this microRNA precursor (206 nucleotides) under Arabidopsis thaliana (thale cress). The record is from RNAcentral. Lineage: Eukaryota; Viridiplantae; Streptophyta; Magnoliopsida; Brassicales; Brassicaceae.